This 168-nucleotide long non-coding RNA is filed under the name Lynx pardinus (Iberian lynx). Lineage: Eukaryota; Metazoa; Chordata; Mammalia; Carnivora; Felidae. The record is from RNAcentral.
UUGACAAAGUGAUCAUUGAGAGCAAUACCAGCCCCAGCGUAGAAGGUGGAAGAGUGGGUGUCACUGUUAAAGUCGCAGGAGACGACUUGGUCCUUGGUGUAGCCCAGGAUGUCCUUGAGGGGGCCCUCUGGUGCCCGCUUCACCACCUUCUUGAUGUCACCGUAUUAG